RNAcentral lists this ribosomal RNA (492 nucleotides) under uncultured bacterium. RNAcentral describes it as "partial 16S ribosomal RNA". It matches the Rfam family "Bacterial small subunit ribosomal RNA", at positions 29 to 507 of the family's 1533-position model. The record is from RNAcentral.
AGUGAACGCUGGCGGUAGGCCUAACACAUGCAAGUCGAACGGCAGCACAGUAAGAGCUUGCUCUUACGGGUGGCGAGUGGCGGACGGGUGAGGAAUACAUCGGAAUCUACUUUUUCGUGGGGGAUAACGUAGGGAAACUUACGCUAAUACCGCGUACGACCUACGGGUGAAAGCAGGGGAUCUUCGGACCUUGCGCGAUUGAAUGAGCCGAUGUCGGAUUAGCUAGUUGGCGGGGUAAAGGCCCACCAAGGCGACGAUCCGUAGCUGGUCUGAGAGGAUGAUCAGCCACACUGGAACUGGGACACGGUCCAGACUCCUACGGGAGGCAGCAGUGGGGAAUAUUGGACAAUGGGCGCAAGCCUGAUCCAGCCAUACCGCGUGGGUGAGGAAGGCCUUCGGGUUGUAAAGCCCUUUUGUUGGGAAAGAAAAGCAGCAGGUUAAUACCACGCUGUUCUGACGGUACCCAAAGAAUAAGCACCGGCUAACUUCGUG